CGUGGGACAAGCAUGGACUGCUGAAGACGGAUUCUGACCGGACUCUCUAGAGGCUAAAGGCUCCUGAAAACACACCACAUGCAAAUCGCCGAACCUGUGGGAAUCGCGAUGUAGAAAAAAUCAUGGAAGCCAUAGUCUGCAUCGCUGCAGAC
Haliotis rubra (blacklip abalone) is the source of this 152-nucleotide long non-coding RNA. RefSeq lists it as uncharacterized. The transcript is spliced from 2 exons. The record is from RefSeq and is a predicted model, not a curated record. Lineage: Eukaryota; Metazoa; Mollusca; Gastropoda; Lepetellida; Haliotidae.